GGCCAGGCCUGGGUCGCAGGUAGUGUGCUCUGGAGGACAGAGUGACCCCACAGUCUCUGGAUCAGGGCCCCAAGGAAGCAGGGGUGCAAGUAGCUUAAGGGGAAGGGAGACACCUAAACCAAAUUGGCUAAAAUUCAGGUGGAGAAGACAGUCCCUGGAGAGGUAUUUGUUUGAGGAGGUAAAGCAAGGAUUCUAGGGGUGACAAGGAGGUGACAGUGCCAUCAUGAUGACAGGGACAAGCAAGCCAGACACCGGGAGCGGCAGGCGCGUGAAGGGCAAGCCAAGCAGAGCGGGCCGGGAUGGGAGAGCACAGCGCCCCCUGGAGGCGGAUGUCGGCCACGCACCGCCACCGAGCAGGUCUGGCAGGAGAGAGGAAGGAGAAAUCCAGCCUGGAGCUGCUGGGGGGCGGAAAAGACCAGGGUUCGAGCCUGGCCAGAGAGGAGAGACUUAGCAGACGCCGAGCUGCGGCUGGAGAUCAGGCCAGCAGCCCCGGCCUCCAGGGAGAGCACACGGCGCCAGCGGGAGCUGCAGAGCCCGGUCCAGCCGCACGGGGUCUCCGCCUCCCGGGCGCGGCCGCCUAGGGUCACCCCGCCACCCCGCCACCCCACGGCGAUCGCGCCACCCGGCCCGACGACGUCACUGCUGCUCUGACGCGCGCGAAUGGAGGUGCGGGCGCGGGGUGGCGGCCUGCGGGAGGCGAGUCCCUGGCCCUCCUCCAGGGGGAACCUCGGUUCCCCAAUCUCGGGGAGCCCAGCUGUCCUCCAGACGCAGCUAAGGACGCGAGCGCAGGGUGCAAAUUCCCUAGCAGAGACCGGCCCCAGCAAGGAGACCAAUGCUAACCGCUCCCUGGAGCUCUGCUCGCAAGUUCCGGGCCCUUGGGGACAAUAAUAACCACAACGGACGCGACAGCCACCAUUAUUCAGCGCUCCCUCUGUGCCCCGCACCGAGCCCAGCGCUUUGCAGGCGGUCACGCUCAGAGGUGGAAAGUGUUGACUAAGGAAGGAGUAGAUAGAUGGAAGAAAAAAAAAUCACAAUAGCUACACAGUACCAUGUGCUUGUUUGUGGGUUGAGCUGAAAACAACAGAGCCAGAACUGAGUCCUGACUCCUUCAUCCUCACUACUGCUCUGAGAGGGGUGUGUGUGUGUGUGUGUGUUUACUCUCCUUUAAUGGAGGAGGUCACCAGGCUGGUAAGUGACAAAGCUAAAAAUUCACAAAUAUAUAUAUAUAUAUGUAUGUAUAUAUCGGCAGCCCUGCUCUCAUCACCCACAAAGGGAGGGGCUGGUACACAUGACUGGGAGAGGUAAGCUACAAGCCAUAGCAAAAACAACCCAAACUCAACUCUUGAUGUGAUUUCAGACACCACGUAUGAAUUAGGGAUCCUAGUAGUUUCCAGAGCUCCAAUUUUGGACUAAAUUGUGAAGAAGGAGGAGGGCAAGGAAGAGGAGUAGGGGGAGGGGGAAGGAGAGGAAGAGGAAGGAAGAAAAAUAGAACCCAAAGGUGCAAUGGAAAGAGAAUGAGAACUAGGGUUGUAACUUUCCCUUGAAAGAGCUCCUGGUAGGGCAGAUCCGGCCACACAAAGCUGAGCACACACGUUACAAUAUGCAAGGAUCUGGGUUCAAGCCUCCAGUCCCCAUGUGCAGGGGGAAAGUUUAAGUAGUGCUGCAGGUGUCUCUCGUUCUCUCUCCCUCUCUAUCUUUCCUUCCUUCUCAUUUCUGUCUUUAUCCAAGAAAUAAAUUGAUUGAUUGAUUGAAAGAAAGAGGGAGGAAGAGAGAGAGAGAUUGCACCUAGAGAGACCCACUCACUUUCCGUGGCUGGGCUCUGAAAAAUAGAGGUGAUUCUAGGAAAGUCUGAAGAGUGUGUGUGGGGGGGAGAAUAUCCCUCCUGUGGUUACCCAAACCUCAUUCUGCUAUUUAUGUUUCACGUUAAAAUGAAGGUGACUCUCUCCACCCUUCAAACUGGCAUGUAAACAGCCAAAACAAGAGGCAGGCCAGCUACAGCCUUCAUAUGUGGUCAGUUUCUCAGGAAGGAUGUACAUCACUUGAAGUGGAAAUGAGGAUUAAAUGAGGUGCCUCAAACAUCUCCACGACAGACUUUCCACCAGGAAUUUAGAUCAUAAGCCCUCAGAAAGGGAGCUUUGUCUACAUGUGGGCUGGGUAUAGUGUCUAAAAUCUGUGUUUUCCCAAUAAAUGUGGAAAAAUAAAUCACA
Long non-coding RNA from Erinaceus europaeus (western European hedgehog), 2207 nucleotides. RefSeq lists it as uncharacterized. Lineage: Eukaryota; Metazoa; Chordata; Mammalia; Eulipotyphla; Erinaceidae. The record is from RefSeq and is a predicted model, not a curated record. The transcript is spliced from 2 exons.